GAAAAAUGAACCAUGUAAUGAAGUGUUCCUAUGUUUAUUAACAAUGUUUGGUUGAGUUGUGCAGUAUGGUGUAUAACAUAAUCAUUGUGCCCCACAGAUUAUACAAAAACUCUCAACCAGACAACCGGACUUGCAGAGCAGAAGGAAUCUGCUCAACGAAAUUGCGGUCGAGAAUGGAAUCGCCUUACAACCCCAUGAAACCUCUGUUUCCGCUACUGAUGAAAAUUUGGAGGUGG
This is a long non-coding RNA of Hibiscus syriacus, 236 nucleotides long. RefSeq lists it as uncharacterized. The transcript has 3 exons. The record is from RefSeq and is a predicted model, not a curated record. Lineage: Eukaryota; Viridiplantae; Streptophyta; Magnoliopsida; Malvales; Malvaceae.